Molecule: long non-coding RNA, 2010 nt
Filed under: Macaca mulatta (Rhesus monkey)
Lineage: Eukaryota; Metazoa; Chordata; Mammalia; Primates; Cercopithecidae
Description: lncRNA (ENSMMUG00000061293.1)
Source: RNAcentral
GAGGAAAACACGCGCGCGCACACACGGUGAUAUCUUGCGGGUGAUGAAUAUGAUAAUUGGACAAGAGACGCUGGACGCAAAGGAUGUGAAAAUGGGAGAGCCACGUAAUGGAAGGUUCCCAGAUUUCAGAGCUGUCACUUGGAGGAGGGCCACCCAGUGAAGAGUGACCAUAUGGAUUUGAUCCCUAUCCUUCAGAGGUGCUCAGCCCAAGGGAACACGGGUAGUAGAUUAAGCACUGACCAGAAACAAGGUAAAGUCAUGUCCACAGCAUGGACUCUGAAGCUGGACUCCCUGGAUCCAAAUCCUUGCUCUGUCAUCUAUUAGCCUUGUGACUUGGAAUAAGUUUCUCAGCCUUUCUGUGCCUUCAUGUCUUCAUCUGGAGAAUGAAGCUCACAGAUUCUAGUCUACGUCAUAAACAGGGGCAACCUAAAAGAGGGUUUGAUGGAGGACAGAAAGCAGGCUGAUCCUGGGCCCUUGGGUGCUGGAGGAGGAGGCCCCCUGAAGGGAGCAGGAGAAGAAAGGACAGCAGAGGAGUGCUGAAAUUCACCUUGCCGACUGCCCCAGGCCAGCUGUUCUUGGCUCUAGGAGAUUCAAAGUCUAAGAAAGAUCCCUUUCCCCUGAUCCGCCAAAGUUUUCAUUUCCUAGAGAAAUAGCUUCUCUCUCUGCGUGUUUCCUUCCACUCUCAGCAAGACCUGAACAAGCGCAUGAAGGUGAUAAACCUGCUACUUCACUGGGGCUGUUUAUUUCCAGUCGACAAAUAUUGUGCCAAUGUUCACUUCAAUUAGGGGACACAUUUGACAAUCUGACUACUCCAUCUGAUGCCUCAAGGGCAAAUUUCAGCUCUUUCAGGAAGGGAUGGGCCAAUAACGGAUUCAUAUGAAUAAAAUAUACAGAGAAGGAACAUUCGCAGCAGUUUGGGGAAACCACCUUCUCCAGCAAGGAGAGCAAAAUAUCUACAUGAAAAUAAAAUUCACAUAAAUAAAGCAUGGGACUUAAACUGUUGGGAUGCUGGGAAUUCAGAGUGAAGGCUCCUGUGCCUGCUUGCCCUUCACCUGCCUGGAUUUGGGAACUAAGAAGUGCAAAUCAGCACUAAGGAGACUAAGACAUUUGUAAUUCUAUGGAAGAAAAUCAUUGUGGCAGACUUCAACUCGCUAAGAAUCUUACUCAUUUAUUCCAGUUUUAAGAAUCAUCCUAGCCACCAGAAAUUUUUUGUGGUGUUUAAUUUUAAUCCUCUGUUUAAUUCCCUUUCUUCUUUAUUAACUUGAAGAUAAUCAGAAAAGCUGCUCAGCAUCCCCUUUUAUACAGCUCUCCACAUCCUGGAAGGCAGAGUCAAGGACCAGGUCCCAUGAAUAGAGCUCUUCCUGCUCGGAAUUGACCUUGGGUCCAUGUUACCCUUUUCCUGGCAGCAGCAGACUAGAGGACGAGUUAGGUCUUCUGCAGCACCUGCCUUGGGCAAGUGCCAUCAGCUCGCUGACUCCUGUAUUCCCAUCAGGGAAAGGGAAAAGUCAGUUCCUUCCUCAUCUUGGAAGGGUUUCCAGGGAAUCAAGUCAGGUGAUAAGAGUGGAUGGAAGUGAAAGUUUGAUAGAAAUGAAGGGACUCUCGUUGUUUGGUUCCUGUUUUGGGGGCUACCCUGGUCAGUACAAAGAACUCCCAGAGGCAGCUUAGUCACUGAGAUCGGAAUAAAAAGCAAAAAUUACCUUUAAGGCCAGGUGCAGUGGCCCACGCCUAUAAUCCCAGCACUUUGGGAGGCCAAGACAGGUGGAUCGCCUGAGGUCAGGAGUUCAAGAUCAGCCUGGCCAACAUGGUGAAACCCUGUCUCUACUAAAAAUACAAAAAUUAGCCAGGCAUGGUGGCGGGUGGCUGUAAUCCCAGCUACUUGGGAGGCUAAGGCAGGAGAAUUGCUUGAACCCGGGAGGCAUAGGUUGUAGUGAGCUGAGAUUGUGCCACUGCACUCCAGCCUGGGCGACAGGGGGAGACUCCAUCUCAAAAAAAAAAAAAAAAAAAAAAAAA